RNAcentral lists this long non-coding RNA (723 nucleotides) under Rattus norvegicus (Norway rat). RNAcentral's name for it is "long non-coding RNA NONRATT011077". The record is from RNAcentral. Lineage: Eukaryota; Metazoa; Chordata; Mammalia; Rodentia; Muridae.
GCUACAGAUACUACCAAUUAUUCACAUGACCUUUGUGUUGACUCCAACAGUCAAGUGCUGCAUCCUUCAGAAAUGCUGAAGAAAGCACAGAGAUUCCAUGGGUGGAGAACUUAAGAAGUGUGUCCAAGUCUACACAGCUGGUGAGCACUUUAAAAGCCCUGAGGAAAUGUUAACUUGGUGCUCUCCCCCUAACCCCUGUGAACCUCCAAAAAGUCUGCACGGAAACCCAUGGUCAAAGUCUGCAUGGAAACCCAUGGUCAAAGACUGCAUGGAAACCCAUGGUCAAAGACUGCAUGGAAACCCAUGGUCAAAAGUCUGCAUGGAGACUUUCUCUCUUGUCAGACACAUAUGCCUUUCUCAUCCUUACAAGGAAAGCAAGGUCUGGGGGCUGGAGAGAUGCUUUUGGGGUUAAUAGCACUUGUUGCUUUUAUAAAGGAGUCAAGCACUGACAUGGAGGCUCACAGCCAUCUUUAACUCCACAGGAUUUGAUGCUCUCUUGUGGCUCUGUGGGCAUGCACACAGUGUGGAGACAUACGUACAGACAAAACAUUCAUACAUGUAAAAAUCCUUAACAACCACAAAAAUAAUAAUGACAAUAGUCAUAAAACAAAGCAAUUUUUGGCUCCUGGCACAGCUUGGGGUGGAAGGGAGAUUGUGUUCUCAAGUUGGAGAGUACUACAGUAGUGUUAAUAUGAAACUACAAUUCUGUAACCUUCCUUUAUU